This 75-nucleotide transfer RNA is filed under the name Acidobacteriota bacterium. Its description in RNAcentral is "Acidobacteria bacterium (groundwater metagenome) tRNA-Gly". It matches the Rfam family "tRNA". Rfam says of the family: Transfer RNA (tRNA) molecules are approximately 80 nucleotides in length. Their secondary structure includes four short double-helical elements and three loops (D, anti-codon, and T loops). The record is from RNAcentral. RNAcentral also lists the same sequence under 8 other names. Lineage: Bacteria; Pseudomonadati; Acidobacteriota.
GCGGGAAUAGCUCAAUGGUAGAGCGCAACCUUGCCAAGGUUGAUGUUGCGGGUUCAAAUCCCGUUUCCCGCUCCA